This 280-nucleotide ribosomal RNA is filed under the name Weissella koreensis. RNAcentral's name for it is "partial 16S ribosomal RNA". It matches the Rfam family "Bacterial small subunit ribosomal RNA", at positions 494 to 776 of the family's 1533-position model. The record is from RNAcentral. Lineage: Bacteria; Bacillati; Bacillota; Bacilli; Lactobacillales; Lactobacillaceae.
UAGGUAAUUGUUCCAGCCGCGCGGUAAUACGUAUGUUCCAAGCGUUAUCCGGAUUUAUUGGGCGUAAAGCGAGCGCAGACGGUUAUUUAAGUCUGAAGUGAAAGCCCUCGGCUCAACCGAGGAAUUGCUUUGGAAACUGGAUAACUUGAGUGCAGUAGAGGAAAGUGGAACUCCAUGUGUAGCGGUGAAAUGCGUAGAUAUAUGGAAGAACACCAGUGGCGAAGGCGGCUUUCUGGACUGUAACUGACGUUGAGGCUCGAAAGUGUGGGUAGCAAACAGG